UUUGUAUAAUGGGUCAGCGACUUAUAUUCAGUGGCAAGGUUAACCAUCUAGGGGAGCCGUAGGGAAACCGAGUCUUAACUGGGCGUUCAGUCUCUGGAUAUAGACCCGAAACCAGGUGAUCUAGCCAUGGGCAGGUUGAAGGUUGAGUAACAUCAACUGGAGGACCGAACCGACUAAUGUUGAAAAAUUAGCGGAUGACUUGUGGCUAGGGGUGAAAGGCCAAUCAAACCUGGAGAUAGCUGGUUCUCCCCGAAAGCUAUUUAGGUAGCGCCUCGGACGAAUACUACUGGGGGUAGAGCACUGUUAAGGCUAGGGGGUCAUCCCGACUUACCAACCCUUUGCAAACUCCGAAUACCAGUAAGUACUAUCCGGGAGACACACGGCGGGUGCUAACGUCCGUCGUGGAGAGGGAAACAACCCAGACCGCCAGCUAAGGUCCCAAAUUACUACUAAGUGGGAAACGAUGUGGGAAGGCUCAGACAGCCAGGAUGUUGGCUUAGAAGCAGCCAUCAUUUAAAGAAAGCGUAAUAGCUCACUGGUCGAGUCGGCCUGCGCGGAAGAUGUAACGGGGCUAAGUAGUAAACCGAAGCUGCGGCAAUAUACUUUUGUAUAUUGGGUAGGGGAGCGUUCUGUAAGCGGUUGAAGGUGUGUGGUAACGCAUGCUGGACGUAUCAGAAGUGCGAAUGCUGACAUGAGUAACGAUAAAGGGGGUGAAAAACC
Molecule: ribosomal RNA, 720 nt
Filed under: Vibrio parahaemolyticus
Lineage: Bacteria; Pseudomonadati; Pseudomonadota; Gammaproteobacteria; Vibrionales; Vibrionaceae
Description: partial 23S ribosomal RNA
Rfam family: Bacterial large subunit ribosomal RNA
Source: RNAcentral